UACGGAGGGUGCGAGCGUUGUCCGGAAUCACUGGGCGUAAAGGGCGCGUAGGCGGCGCGGGAAGUCCGUGGUGAAAGCCCGAGGCUCAACUUCGGGUCGGCCAUGGAUACUCCUGGGCUUGAGCACUGUAGAGGCAGGUGGAAUUCGGGUGUAGCGGUGGAAUGCGUAGAGAUCCGGAAGACACCGGUGGCGAAGGGCGGCGACCUGGUCCGACACUGACGCUGAGGCGCGAAAGCGUGGGGGAGCAAACAGG
This 253-nucleotide ribosomal RNA is filed under the name uncultured bacterium. RNAcentral's name for it is "partial 16S ribosomal RNA". It matches the Rfam family "Bacterial small subunit ribosomal RNA", at positions 524 to 776 of the family's 1533-position model. The record is from RNAcentral.